GCACUCUUAGCUCAAUUGAAUAGAGCAUCUGACUUCGGAUCAGAAGGUUAGGGGUUUAACUCCCUUAGAGUGCGCCA
This 77-nucleotide transfer RNA is filed under the name Mycoplasmataceae bacterium. RNAcentral's name for it is "tRNA-Arg". It matches the Rfam family "tRNA". From Rfam's summary of the family: Transfer RNA (tRNA) molecules are approximately 80 nucleotides in length. Their secondary structure includes four short double-helical elements and three loops (D, anti-codon, and T loops). The record is from RNAcentral. Lineage: Bacteria; Bacillati; Mycoplasmatota; Mollicutes; Mycoplasmatales; Mycoplasmataceae.